AUUGAACGCUGGCGGCAUGCUUUACACAUGCAAGUCGAACGGUAACAGGCCGCAAGGUGCUGACGAGUGGCGAACGGGUGAGUAAUGCACCGGAACGUGCCCAGUCGUGGGGGAUAACGCAGCGAAAGCUGUGCUAAUACCGCAUACGAUCUAUGGAUGAAAGCGGGGGACCGUAAGGCCUCGCGCGAUUGGAGCGGCCGAUGUCAGAUUAGGUAGUUGGUGGGGUAAAGGCUCACCAAGCCAACGAUCUGUAGCUGGUCUGAGAGGACGACCAGCCACCCUGGGACGUGGACACGGCCCAGACUCCUACGGGAGGCAGCAGUGGGGAAUUUUGGACAAUGGGCGCAAGCCUGAUCCAGCAAUGCCGCGUGCAGGAAGAAGGCCUUCGGGUUGUAAACUGCUUUUGUACGGAACGAAACGGCGAGCUCUAAUACAGUUUGCUAAUGACGGUACCGUAAGAAUAAGCACCGGCUAACUACGUGCCAGCAGCCGCCGUAA
RNAcentral lists this ribosomal RNA (498 nucleotides) under uncultured bacterium. Its description in RNAcentral is "partial 16S ribosomal RNA". It matches the Rfam family "Bacterial small subunit ribosomal RNA", at positions 30 to 523 of the family's 1533-position model. The record is from RNAcentral.